AACGAACGCUGGCGGCAUGCCUAACACAUGCAAGUCGAACGAGACCUUCGGGUCUAGUGGCGCACGGGUGCGUAACGCGUGGGAAUCUGCCCUUGGGUUCGGAAUAACUCGCCGAAAGGCGUGCUAAUACCGGAUGAUGUCGUAAGACCAAAGAUUUAUCGCCCAGGGAUGAGCCCGCGUAAGAUUAGGUAGUUGGUGAGGUAAAAGGCUCACCAAGCCUUCGAUCAGUAGGGGUUCUGAGAGGAAGGUCCCCCACAUUGGAAACUGAGACACAGUCCAAA
Molecule: ribosomal RNA, 281 nt
Filed under: uncultured bacterium
Lineage: Bacteria
Description: partial 16S ribosomal RNA
Rfam family: Bacterial small subunit ribosomal RNA
Source: RNAcentral